AAAAAAAAAAAAAAAGGUGAACAGAAAAGUUUCGCCAGUUACAUUUGUGCCACCAAACUUUUUUUAACUUUCUUUGCUUUCCUACAUUUGCCACCGGUAGACUUAAAACUUAGUUAUCCUUAUCUUCUAAUUUUGCCACCGCCCCUCUUCACCAUCUUUCCUCACCAAUCAGAUGCAAAAAAAAAAAAAAAAAAAAACCCUUCUCUAUCCUUCUUCUACCUUCCUUCCAAUUUUCCUUCUUCUACCUUCCUUCUAAUUUAGGGGGGGUUUUGGAUAGGAAAAAAAUAGGUGUUUAUUGCUUAUUCCCACAAUAAACUAAUUUGAGUGUUUGGAUCAAAUUCAGCUUAUUAGGUUAAAUAAGCUAAUUUUAAUAAGCAUUCAUUCUCAUGCUUAUUGCUUAUUGCUUGCCACAAAUAAGCUAUAAGCUAAAAAUCUAAUCCAAACACCCCGUAUUUCUCCGUCUUUCUUUUCUCCAUUUGGACCUCCACCUUCCCGGUGAUAGUGGUCUGCGAAACCCAACCUCCCAAAAACCCUUUUUCCUUUCACUUACUGUAAUCGACUGGGAGUUUGUUUCAUCCGCUUGACGCGUUCGACUGGGAAAUCAAAAACACAUACCGGUGCUGAUGAUGGUGGUGGUGCGAUCGCGGUUGUUUCCGGUGGCGGUCCCGAUAGAUUAGAACAGAACUACAGGAGAGCAAAAGAAGGAUCCGGGAUUAAUCGAAGAAAGUGAUUCAAUUUACAUGAAAAAGGUAAAGAUAUUUAUCAGCGAAAAUAUCAUAAAAUCAAUCAAUCAAUCUUCGAAUUAAACAGAACCCUAGUCGAAAUUGAUAGAAUUUAGCAGCAACAGAUUCGAAUUUUAGCAACCCUAGUGAUUUGUUUUCUGAUGAUAUCAAUCGGAAUAUGAACGACGUCGUAUAUGUGGUGAGUUGGAGAAGAACUGAGGAAAUGUCGUCGGCAAGCAUGGAUGCGCUGCUUUGGACUCUCGGCAACAAUCUUAAUGACGAGUCCACGUUUCCUUCUUACUCCUCACUACCUAUCCAGCGAUGUAAAGCCAAUGGAAACAGGAUAAGAAGAAAACGGGAGCAAUGGAGCAGAGAUCAAAACAUUGAAAGGAAGUGCGUUUUCUUUUAUCUUUUAGCAGCAGAAGAUGAUUCACUCUUCUGUACCACUUCCUGUCGAUGCUUUUAUUGACAGAUUAGAUGAUUUUUCUUUGGAUUACUGCUCACGCUACAGUUCAUCAUUUAUAUCAUCUCCUGAUAUUUUGCUCGACUGCCUAGAGAGAUACAUGUAUGUUGACAAGGUAUGUCAGGGGAUCGUGGCAAGGCGAAGGCAUGAUCGUACAGCUCCUCAUGAUUUGUUUUUGUUUCUAGGAAAACUCUGAUAUUAGAUAUUUUGAAAACAAGCUUUGUACUGAUGCAUGGUUUUAAAUGUUUUGAAAAAGUUUUAAUUUGGCAUGAAAUUUUUGGGUGUUACAACCCUCUACAACAUAAGCACUAAAUCUAACUGUCAUGUGAACAUUACGUCCAGAUCUAGCGACCCUAGUUGACAAACUAUCAGAAUGAUUAGAAUUAAUUGAAUCAUUUUCCUCAGUCAGUGUAGAGGAACUUGGAAACAUCUCAUCAGAAGGAGGCACAUAUGCCUCACUAGUCCAGUAGCUGACAUUAGAGGGACAAGUCUCAUCCAGGUCAUGGUCUGCAUUAGCUCCAUCCACAUGAUGUUCACUUCUCAAGUUAUCUAACCUAGUGUUAUCUAGAAUAAAACUAGAAUCUAAUGACUCGUCAUAGGAAAAUAGGUCAUUUGAAUUCACAAUAACAACUGAUCAAUCAGCCAAAGAUGAAGAUUUAAGCUUGAAAGGAAACACUAACUCAUAAAAUUUUACAUCCCUAGAAACAAAAAUAAAAUUGGAAUCAAGACUAAGAACUAUAUAAAUCUUUUUAUUAGAAGAAUAACCAAGAAAAAUGCAUUUAUCAGCUUUUUAGAAAAUUUAUCAGAAUUAGUCAACUUAGUGGCAAAACACAAACAUCCAAACACUCUAAGUUUAUCAAAAACAGGUAUAUUAUUAUAAACAAGUUCAUAGGGAGAAAAACCAUUUAAGACAUAAAUGGGUGUUCUAUUAAUCAGGAAAACUGAAGUUAAAAUUGCAUCUCCCCAGUACUUGAUUGGUAUACCAGAUUGAAACAUUAAAGACCUAGCAACAUUUAAAAUAUGUCUAGGUUUCCUCUCCACAACUCCAUUUUGUUGUGGAGUAUGAACACAAGAUGUUUGAUGUAAAAUUCCUUUUUGAUUCAAUCAAUUGUCUCAUUCUAUUGUUUAAAAAUUCAAUACCAUUCAGAUCUAACAACCUUGAUUUUAACACAAAACCGAUUGAGCAAAAUAUUAAAGAAAAUAAGAACACAAUCAUAAACUUCAUCUUUAGACUUUAACAGAUAAACCCAAGUUGCCCUAGUAAAGUCAUCCACAAUAGUCGAAAAAUAUCUAAAUCCUUCUAUAGUUGUCACUCUCUAGGGGCCCCAGACAUGUAAAUGAACUAACUCACCAAUUUUAGAAGUAGUAUGUUGACUAACAGGAAAGGGUUCUCUAGUUUGUUUAGCUUUAUGACAAAUAUCACAUGGUGGAAAAGCUUCAUUUCCAAUUUUAAGUUUGUGUUUUAAGGAACUCAAGGCUUAAUCAGAAGGAUGACCAAGUCUAUUGUGCCAAGUUAGUUUAGACACACAAAAAACAGAAGAAGAAAUAGAAGAACUAGAUAGAUUACCUGAAGGUACACUAUUUAUGUAAUAGAGACCUCCAGACUCUCUACUAUUCCCCACCAUUACCUUUGACUGUAAUUCCCUGUUGGCCUUCAGUCUAUCCGGACCGCCCUAAGUCUGUUGAGCAUCACUAUGGAUACAUCCUGGUGCCCUCUACCAUAUAGCCAUUUCUCCCCACUUGGGGUUUCAAACUCCUGAUCUAAUCCAUAAACUAUAAUCUCGACCUAACUCCAGACCUCGUGUUGAUCGCCCACCCUCUCGGGAAAACUGUGGUAUGAUCCCUGACCCGCGUAUCCACCACAUAUGCUAAAUAACCCGCACACCCGUGCUGAAAGUACUACCACCCUGGUAGCUAAACAAAACCCUCAAUGGCUGAUGCUUCAUCUGAGAAUUCCCAAUAUUCCCCCACUUGGGACACUAACCACUACCUACUAGUGGCGAAACCAAAACACCACUUAACCAUCCCUACUAGGUAUUACCAUACUUAACCACAUAAUGAUUAACCUUGGAAUGAAUAACCCACGCAAAACAAAUCCUCCUAGAACGGAGCAACCGAACUUCAAGAGAAACCUGAAUCCUAGCUGGAUGCUUCUGAAACUCCAAACCAUAACUACUGACCCUGGAAUCGUGAUUCUCUAUCCGUACUUCUCAUCCUCAAUGCAUCGCUGGAUCCUAACCAUCUAUAACCCCUUCAAUACUAAAUUCCCCUGAUCCUCCUAUAUCCUAACAUCUUAUGUAGAAGGUAAUGGAAAGUUCACAAUAUAAUCAUAAACAGUAACAUAAAAGGUAGAAACAUACCAGAAAUCGCAUUUGGUGCUGUCCUGGCCUCCUUUGUUGCAAGCUAGAAAGCACAUCUUUGAGCCCUCGGAGGCUCUUCUAUACCCUGACCCCCGUCAGUAAUCCUCGGUGUAGCCGGCGCUGGAGCCUACACCGUCCUGGUAGCGAGCUAUGGACAGUUAGUCUUCACGUGACCAACCUGAUGCCUGAUGCCUGAUGGCAGUGGUAGCAAAUCCUCGUAUCCUGAACCAGGGCUGUCUGGCAGCAAUCCCUCACAAAGUGCCCCUCCUUUCCGCACUUGCGGUACGCACUACCAGAUCUACAAACCCCGAGUGACCCUUCCCGCACUUGCCACAUGUGCGGCCCUGCUGUCCUCCGGUCCUGGAAUCAGCAGUCUUAGAUCGCUUUAGCGCCGACUGUGACUGCUUCGGGGUCUGCCUCUGCCUCCAUAACUGUAACUUGAUCUCAAGCUCAUGCUGCGUAGCGGCCUCUUGUAACUCCAGCAGUGUAUAACAACGCUGGGUAGCAACAAACUGACGGAUGUCAGUCUUGAGCAUGCUCAUAUAAUGUGUCAUCUGAGCCUGCUCGGAAGCAAACUCUGGGCUGAACAUCGCCCUCUCUAUGAACAUAUGGGUGAUCUCCAUCACCGUCACACCAUCCUGUCUCAACUCCAAGAAGUCCUAAGCUAACCACUCCCGCUCGACCCGCGGAAUGUAGCGAGCGCGGAACAUAUCCCUAAACUGCUCCCAAGUAACCACAACUCUCUAAUCAUCAGUGUAAGACCCGGUCAUCAAGCUCCACCAGUCCUUUUCCCCGGACCUCAUCAGGUUCAGGGCACAUCUGACCUUUUGGUCAACAGGACAUACGAACGUGAAGAAACAUCCCUCCACAUCGGAUAUCCACCUCAUGGCUACAAUCGGGUCCUAUUUCCCAUCGAAAGUCGGGGGCUUCGUGUUAUCGAAGUCCCGGUACUAAAAAGCCUUACUAGCUCCUCCCCAUGUCGCCGUUACAGCUACUGAAGCAGUUACGGUAGCCGUCUCAGCAAUGGCUGCAUAGCGCUCGUCAAAGAACUCAAGCAUGGCGGUCUUGAUAGAACCAAACAUCUCCAGUAACUAUGCCCGGAACAGAGUAGCAACCUCAUCAUGCAGGAUCUCUCAAAUCCUGGCAUCCAACUCAUCCGACCUUAUCUGACCAAUUUCCUUGGGCACUGCUGGUCCUUCUUGAUCGCCAUCUCCUGAUCCUGAUCUGGAUCCAGUCACAAAUCAUCUAACCACCAUGCUGAAAAUACACCAAGAAGAUUUCAGACAUUCCAUAUAAUAAUUCGAGAACCAACUCCCAACAAAUUCGUACGGGUUGUGACUUCUUUGUUACGCGUACGGGUCAUGUGCUUUCAGUAGUACGAGCCCAUACUACCUUCCACACUUACUCAUAUUUGUCUCAAGUGUCAUCACAACGCCCUAACAAUAUACAUAAACAUGGCGAGCGCUCCACCAUCACUUCUAGAGGAAUGCUAAAUAUCUCAUAACUAGUCUACUGACCCCGCACAACCUACCCAUGAAACUUCCCCCAACCCUGCACACUUGUGUAUGCUAGCUAUACAUAACGCUGGACCCUAUAGACUUUCGAAUACCUGAUCCUACCCUAAGCCCUUUAUCAGACAAGAACAGAAAAUAAGGCCAAACCACACAUUCUCAGGUUAUAAGAUCUUAAUUAUGUACAGCCGUGAUGCAUACACUAAGCAACUAUAGUAAUUAUGUCAAUUUCAUAUAAGGAAAAACCCUAGGCUAUCAAGAAUCAUAUAAUCAGGCAAUUCCUGAAAAUCCCUAGCCUAGUACUAGCAUGUUGUUCUAACAUAUCGCAAAAAUCAAAUAAUCCAUAAGGUAUUUUGGUGUCUACUUACUGGCUCUGGCUGAUCGUACACUUGCAUCCUCCUUUAGUAUUUUGACAACCAUUUGAAAAAUCAUUUUAUAAUCUUGUCCUUAGUUUGAGACUGGAGACACACGAGUGUUUCCUCUAAUUCACUCAAACCAAGGCUCUGAUACCAACUUGUAACACCCAUAAAAAUCAUGCCAAAUUAAAACAUUUUAAAUCAUUCAAAAACCACUAAUUAUUACAAAUUUGUUUUCAAAAUGGUUUCAUAUCAUAGUAUCCCAUAAUCAAAUCAUAAAAACAUAAGGAGGUGCACGAUCACGCUUUCGCCUUCCCUCGAUCAUCAGAAGUAUCUGCAAACAACAUGUAUGUUUGGCCCAAUCAACAUAUCACGUAACCACUUGUACCAGGCCUAAUCAGCCUCGGGCUGGAAUACUAGGCACGCCUAUAACGGGUCCAGUCAUCCCUAGGAUGGUAUAACCUCGCAUCCUCAUGUAUGUUUGGCCCAAUCAACCCUCGGGUAACUGCUCGUACCAAGGCCAAUCAGUCUCGGGCUGGAAUACCAGGCACGCCUAUAACGGGUCCAAUCAUCCCUAGGAUGGUAUACCCUCGUAUCCUCAUGUAUGUUUGGCCCAAUCAACCCUCGGGUUGGAAUAUACCAAACACACGAGGUCCAAUCAAUCAUAGGGUCCGAUCAUCCUCAUGAUGGAAUACCCUAGAUUGGAAUACCUCCACAUACAUAACUCAAACCUACAACCAUGCUCGGGACCGAGGACCUUGUCCUUGCGUCACCCUCGAACCCUUUAGUUCGACACAACUGAGUGUAACCCACUCACACCUCCUCAUCAUGAUUUCAAGGUCCUCGACCUCUGACUGUAAUAUCCUUAUACAGUCUUCAGCACUGGUCCAGACUACUCCUGAGUCUGUUAACAUGCUAUCUCACUUUCCUCUGUCGAAAUCUCCAAUCUGGAACCACUAUCCUCCUCCUCUUCCAAGGAGACUGAAAACAUGCCUGCAUAUCAUCCAACAUUGCCACGACGACAAAACCUCGCUAUACAUCACCCCUUGGUGGCGCACACCGCUAACUCAGAACAUGCAUACUGAUCGCAUGGCUAGCAACCCAUACAUAGCCUGCUGAAUUUCCUUGACAUCUCCACCAUUCGGGGACAACCCCACUAGCCGCUAUCACAUAACAACAUCCUCUCUACUGGUUUAAAGAUCCACGACACAUUCAAAGCCCUUACUAUAACCGAACCGCCUCAUCGCACCACUCCAAUAACCAACAUUCAAAUCACAUCAGGCAACAUUCUACAACCAACGGCUCAUCCAAUAACCAACAUUCAAACCAACGCCAUACAAUCGUAAUCAUAUCAUAUAAACAAACAACAUGUAUAAUGAGCCAUCAGCCUGACUGGACUGUCUGCACCGGGUCUACAGUCUAUAUGGACCGCUCUCCGAUCCUUCGGCAUGUCUGGACCAUCUCUCAGGGCCUUUAGCCUAUCCAGACCGCUCGUCGGGCAUUCGGCCUGACUAGUAUGCCCUUUUGGGUUUGUAGUCUAUCCGGUCCGCCAAGCAGGUCCACCUCAACCCAACCACAAUCAAACAAGCAUGUGCACAUAAAUAUCAUACGUUAGCAUGUAUAGUACAGUCAAACUAAUCUAACAGAUCAAUAAUCAUAGCAACAUCCUAUAACCAGGAUAUCGACCUAAUCGGUCACUAACAUAGCAUUAUCCUAUUCCUAUAUACCAGGAUACCGACCUAACCGGUCUCUAACAUAAGAUUAUCCUAUAUACCAGGAUACCGGCCUAACCAGGUCACUAAGCAUAUCACCAUCCUGACUACCAAGAUGUAAAUCAAUUAGCAUAUCAUUCAAUAAACCCAGAUACAAAUCUGAAAACGUUCGCCAUUGAUGCCUUCGACCCACCUCACAAGUAGCUCGGAGUGAUAAUGUCAAACCCCUCCAAAUACAGCUCCAACUCCAACACCUACAUCCACCAAUGAUCCACUUCCAUUAAUUCCCAAAUUACUAAAAUACCCCCAUAAGUCAAACUGGUCAACACUUGGUCAAAGUCAAAGUUAACGGUCAAGGUCAACAUUCCAUGUUGACCUAACUCGUUGAGUGCAGCUCACUGACUCAUCGAGUCCUUCUAGACCUCGAGAAAUCUUGAAAACCCUAGUUGACUCGCCGAGUUUCCAGACAACUUCUCGAGUCCAUGCGUGUCCAAAUGUCGGGAAAACACUAACUGACUCAUCGAUUCGUCUCACUGACUCGCCAAGUCUAUGUAGAAACCGACCACGACCAAUUUUCAUCUGACUCGUUGAGUUGACCAUGCAACUCGUCGAGUCCCUUCAGUUCAUUUCUCAUUUAGACGAUUUUAAGCUACCCCAAAGCUCCAAAUUGCAGAUCUAACCUCGUAGGGCAUGGUUUCCACGUAAAGUUGCAAACUUUACGUACAUGCAUGGUCCUAAAUGCCGAAACCAAGCUAAGGGAAAGGUUUAACCUAAAGAGAAAGGCCAAAGCUUGCUAAAUCUGAUAACUUUAUGACUGUACAGAUUUAGAGGAGUCCAGAUCUGAAGUUACAACUUCAAAUCAUGCCCAAUACUCGAAAUAACCUACAACCAUCUAGAAAAUGGCCCUAAACCUUUACAUGAAGAGAUCUAGCUAAAGAUAAGUCAAGGUAACUGUAACGACCAAAAAUUUCAGCCAAUUUAAAACAUUUUAUUUCAUUCAAAAACCAUUACAUUCAUACGCCUUCGCCUUGCCACGAUCUCCUGAAGCACCUGAAACAAUAAACCACAACUGUAAGCCCGAAAUCUUAGUGAGUUCCCCCAAAGUACCCAUACACACAUAAACAUACGCAUACAGCAAAGAACAACAUACUAUGGGUCCAAUCAACCUUCCGGCACAGACACAAUCAGCAGCCAAGCAGGCAAAGCCUGCUGAUUCGAGAUCUAGGGGUCCGAAGGGCAGCACUUGUGGGAAGUGCGGCAAGAACCAUGAGGGAGUGUGCAGAGCUGGGGUGUGUUACAAGUGUGGGAAGGAGGGGCACUGUGCGAGGUAUUGUCCCCAGGGAUUCACGGUUUGCUUACAUUGCAACCAGACCAUCCAUCAGAAGGCCGAGUGCCCACAGCUGCAAUAGGGAUCGACACAGGGAUCUGCACCUGCUGCCCAAGCUACUAAGGUUCGACUGGUGAAGGCCGAGGCACCAAAGGCUCGCGGGAGUGCCAUCCAGUUGACAGUGGAGGAGGUCCGCGUAGCGCCCGAUGCCGUAGCUGGUGCGAGUCGGUUAUUUGUGUCUUUAGCGUUUAGUCAGCACAUCAGUACACAGCAGGAGGCGUUGAGUCGACCUCUACGAGUUUCUAUAGUUGACGAGCAAGCGGUGUAUGCCACUAAUGUGAUUCGAGGAUGUGUACUCGAGAUUUUUGACGUUGAGUUUCCGAUUUAUUUGGUCCCGAUUGCGAUGGGAGAUGUCUGUGUCAUCCUGGGCAUGGACUGGUUGAGCAGUUUUGGACCGUUUAUCGACUGCGAGCGACAGCUGGUGACCAUACAAGACCCUAGUGGGGGAGUUCUUACGGUUUAUGGCGAGGGUACCCGUUCUAGGUCAGCAUUUUGUUCGGUUGCCAGAGCGAGGCAGAGUUUACAGCAGGGUUGUAGUGGGUUUGUAGCCAAUCACUACUAGAAAAUAGCCCUUUAAUGACGCGCAAACAAUGACACUCGCUGAUAGAGGACGCACAUUUGUCCGUACCCUAAAAAAUAAUGUCAGUUUUGAAAAUUUUGAAGGAUAGAGGGCAUACAUUUGUGCGUGCCCUAAAAUUAGUGUCCAACAAAAAAAAUUAAAAACACGGAGGGCACCUAUCAUAAAAAAGCGCGUCAUCUAAAACUGUCGCUUUAUAUUUUUCUUUAGGAAGGCGCGUUCUCUUAGGGGGAAAUGAAAUACCAAAAAAUUAAACAGCCCGCCUCCGAUGCAUCUGCUUCUUCUUCUAAAAUCCUCUACCAAAAAGCCCUAAUAAUCCUUUAAGCAGUUCGUCUCUCUCUCUCUCUCUCUCUCUCUCUCUCUCUCUCUCUGUGUGUGUAAGCCCUAAUCCGCCAUCACCAGCAUCGAACCUCAUAAUCUUUAAAAGUUCAAAGUGCCUAAGCAAACACUUCCGCCAUCUCAAGAUGUCGGUUCAGGAUCGGAACGUCACAUCGCAGUACACGAUGACAUCAUCAUCUCCACAAACCACCGUCAACGGUGGAGAAAACGAAUGCAACUGGGUUCUUUUCUAUUACUUCCAAAUCUAAUCCAGACAACAAGCAUUUGAUGCUGCCCAACUCGGCUAACUGAAAAGUUAUUCGAAAGUUUCACUAACUCAUUUCUCAAAUUUGCAUUGUACGAUCAAAGCUAGGGCUCUUUGCUAAUAUCAAAUGAUCACUUCUUCUUGAAUUUCCCUCAAAUUUGUUGUUUUAAGCUUGUGAUUCAAAUUUGCAUUGUACGAUCAAAGUUAUUCCCAAAUUUCUCCUUGUGAUCCCCUGCUCUUGAAUUGUUCUUGUUUUCAGAGCACUUGCAAAUCUUACAUUCAUCAACCUUCCAAAUCUAUCCGACAAUAUCAUAUGCUUUUAGGGAAAAUAUGGAUCUGAGCAGACACGAUUUCUCUUAAAAUUUGUGUUUAGUUUUUGCAAUUGAUGAUUCGGACACUACGUUUUGUUGCUUG
This is a non-coding RNA of Lactuca sativa (garden lettuce), 10085 nucleotides long. The record is from RefSeq and is a predicted model, not a curated record. NCBI's taxonomy places the organism in Eukaryota, Viridiplantae, Streptophyta, Magnoliopsida, Asterales, Asteraceae.